CAGAGAAGGUGUUUGAUGAAAUGCUUGAGAGAGGGGUAAAGCCUGAUAAUGUUACUUUCUCGACUAUUAUUAGUUGUGCUAGGCAGUGUAAUUUGCCUGAAAAAGCUAUUGAAUGGUUUGAAAAGUUGCCAUCUUUUGGGUGUGAACCAGAUGAUGUUACGUACUCUGUGAUGAUUGAUGCUUAUGGUAAGGCUGGUAAUGUAGAUAUGG
Molecule: unclassified non-coding RNA, 210 nt
Filed under: Hevea brasiliensis (rubber tree)
Lineage: Eukaryota; Viridiplantae; Streptophyta; Magnoliopsida; Malpighiales; Euphorbiaceae
Source: RNAcentral